RNAcentral lists this ribosomal RNA (254 nucleotides) under uncultured bacterium. RNAcentral describes it as "partial 16S ribosomal RNA". It matches the Rfam family "Bacterial small subunit ribosomal RNA", at positions 524 to 776 of the family's 1533-position model. The record is from RNAcentral.
UACGGGGGGGGGCAAGCGUUGUUCGGAAUUACUGGGCGUAAAGGGCUCGUAGGCGGCCAACUAAGUCAGACGUGAAAUCCCUCGGCUUAACCGGGGAACUGCGUCUGAUACUGGUUGGCUUGAAUCCGGGAGAGGGAUGUGGAAUUCCAGGUGUAGCGGUGAAAUGCGUAGAUAUCUGGAGGAACACCGGUGGCGAAGGCGGCAUCCUGGACCGGUCCUGACACUCAGGAGCGAAAGCGUGGGGAGCGAUCCGG